This is a long non-coding RNA of Lagopus muta (rock ptarmigan), 1620 nucleotides long. RefSeq lists it as uncharacterized. The record is from RefSeq and is a predicted model, not a curated record. The transcript is spliced from 5 exons. NCBI's taxonomy places the organism in Eukaryota, Metazoa, Chordata, Aves, Galliformes, Phasianidae.
CUGACUGCCUCGACUUCUCAAAUACCACUGAGAGUGGCUCGGUGACUGCAGCGGUGAAUUCCCUCAGGGCUCUGGGACUCGUCUCAUCAGGACCCAAAGACUCCUGGAUGUCAGGUUCUCAGGUGGCUGCGGAGUUGCAGCGCUCCCGAGUGCCGUAACGACUGCAUGGAGAUGCGUGGCUCUUCAUGGGAACAGCAAGGAACCGGAAUCUGCAUUUCCUGGAAUGCCCCAGAGCCUCGCUUUGCUGGCUGGUAAUUGUCUGCCCAGCAGGUGGCAGCAGAGCUGCGUUGCUCCUGAGCACUUUAAGGACAGCACGGAGAUGCGCGGCUCUUCAUGGCAGCAGCAGAAACUGGAAUCUGCAUUUCCUGGAAUGCCCCGGAACCUCGCUUUGCUGGCUGGUAAUUGUCUGCCCAGCAGGUGAAGAUGCCUUCGAUGCUUCCAGUUGAUGGCUUCCCCCCUGCCAUGCCAUCGUCUUUCCAGUCCUCCCGCACUCACCGCCUGCUCGGUUCAGUCCAGCCGUUACCUGAAUCCCUGCUCCGUUCCCUUUCCUGAGUGCUGUAAGGACAGCAUGGAGAUGUGCAGCUCUUGAUGACAGCAGCAGGAACCGGAAUCUGCAUUUCCUGGAACGCCCUGGAACCCCACUUUGCUGCCUGGUAAUUGUCUGCCCAGCAGGUGAAGAUGCCUUCGAUGCUUCCAGUCGAUGACUUCCCCCCUGCGAUGCCAUUGGCUUUCCUGGCCUCCCACAGUCACCACCAGCUCAGUUCAGUUGAGCUGUUACCCGAAUCCCCACUCCGUUCCCUUUCCAUGAUUUCCAUGAUCUUCCUGUCACUCUGCCACAAGCCCCCACCAAGGUCAUCGCAGGCAACGUGUGGGAUGCGGCACUCGGUCUCAUUACAGUUCAUCCCAUCAGCUUCAGCCCAGCGAUCCAAGCCACCCGCACCCUUCCUGAGGGCCCUUCUGCUCCCAGGCCAAUCAACGCUUCCUUCUGAUGCCAUCUGCAUUCCUUCCUGGCCACUUUCAGACUCGUGCCCCUUUGUGGCCAUUUUGAGAGUUGCGCUGAUUUCAGCGUCUGCAUUCAAUUGACUUCAACCAAAUUGGCUUUAGCUUUACAUUCAAUUAAUGUAAACCAAAUUGGCUUUAGUAUUACAUUCACUUAAUGUAAACCAAAUUGGCUUUAGUUUUACAUGCAAUUAAAUGUAAACCAAAUUGGCUUUAAGUUUGCCUUGCUUACGGGGUUGGGUUAGCUUUGCUUUGUUUGUUCUAGCGCAGGGCUAACCCAACCCCGUAACCAAGGGCCGGCGGAGGCGAUUUUGUUCCUUCCCGGCCAGUCUGAGACUUGCGCCCCCUUGUGGCCAUUUGAUGAUCUGUGCUGAUUUCAGCGUCUGCAUUCAAUUAAUCUCAACCAAAUUGGCUUUAGCCUUGCAGUCAUUUUGCAUCAACCAAAUUGGCUUUGGCUUUGCAUUCAACUUAUUUCAACCAAAUUGGCUUUAGUUUUACAUUCACUUGACUUCAAUCAAAUUGGCUUUAGCUUUACACUCAAUUAUUGUAAACCAAAUUGGCUUUAGUUUUACAUCCAAAUUAUGUAAACCAAAUUGGCUUUAAGUUUGCCUUGCUUACGGG